UUAACACAUGCAAGUCGAACGAUGAUGGGAGCUUGCUCCUGGAUUAGUGGCGAACGGGUGAGUAACACGUGAGUAACCUGCCCUUAACUCUGGGAUAAGCCUGGGAAACUGGGUCUAAUACCGGAUAUGACUCCUCAUCGCAUGGUGGGGGGUGGAAAGCUUUAUUGUGGUUUUGGAUGGACUCGCGGCCUAUCAGCUUGUUGGUGAGGUAAUGGCUUACCAAGGCGACGACGGGUAGCCGGCCUGAGAGGGUGACCGGCCACACUGGGACUGAGACACGGCCCAGACUCCUACGGGAGGCAGCAGUGGGGAAUAUUGCACAAUGGGCGCAAGCCUGAUGCAGCGACGCCGCGUGAGGGAUGACGGCCUUCGGGUUGUAAACCUCUUUCAGUAGGGAAGAAGCGAAAGUGACGGUACCUGCAGAAGAAGUGCCGGCUAACUACGUGCCAGCAGCCGCGGUAAUACGUAGGGCGCAAGCGUUAUCCGGAAUUAUUGGGCGUAAAGAGCUCGUAGGCGGUUUGUCGCGUCUGCCGUGAAAGUCCGGGGCUCAACUCCGGAUCUGCGGUGGGUACGGGCAGACUAGAGUGAUGUAGGGGAGACUGGAAUUCCUGGUGUAGCGGUGAAAUGCGCAGACUAUCAGGAGGAACACCGNAUGGCGAAGGCAGGUCUCUGGGCAUUAA
RNAcentral lists this ribosomal RNA (680 nucleotides) under uncultured Actinomycetes bacterium. RNAcentral describes it as "bacterial SSU rRNA". It matches the Rfam family "Bacterial small subunit ribosomal RNA", at positions 48 to 739 of the family's 1533-position model. The record is from RNAcentral. Lineage: Bacteria; Bacillati; Actinomycetota; Actinomycetes.